Molecule: long non-coding RNA, 840 nt
Organism: Xenopus tropicalis (tropical clawed frog)
Lineage: Eukaryota; Metazoa; Chordata; Amphibia; Anura; Pipidae
Exons: 6
Source: RefSeq, a predicted model, not a curated record
CUUAAUUCCAGGGUUCCCAUUGGGUGACUAUGUAUUCACGGUUACAAAAAGCCGACAGCCAAUCACAUCUCAUUCAGUGGCUUCACCUGUUUUUCAAACCGACAUUAAAACACUAUUAAAGAAAAGGGUUUGGUACAAGGCUCAAAAGUGGGGCCAAACUGUUUAAUGUCUCUAUAUAAAUAAUAAAAUAUAAAUAAAAGCAACCAAUCGGAUUACUACCGUUUGCACCAAUGAUGUUUCUCUCUCUCCGCAGAAAGAAUGGCAGCGAAAAUGGCGAGGCGCAUACUUCGAAAAGUAUUUUGUUGCCUCCCACUUUUUAGAAAAGUAAGGGCCUUUGUUUGACUCUAAUAUCUCUGAUUUGGGUUUGCGAAUAAAAGUUACCGAUUUCCCAACGCGAUCGUUACCAUUUAUAAUCCGACUUUAUUCUCUUUGUUUUCAGAAACGAAUUGUGAUAAAAGAUAAAGAAGUUGUUAUUCUGGUAAGGAGGGAACUGCCAAGCAAAUAUAUUGUACCCAUCCCAGUUUGCAUUUCAGUAUAAUAUCAAAUACUUGGCUCUUUAUUUCUAUUAAAUAAACUCUUUUCUUUAUGUGAAACAGGUUCAACCAGAAGAACAAAAACAUCAACCCACUGAAACCAUCUGCGAGCAACCAGUUCCACCUACUGGGAAUGUUGUCUCUCAAGACAACCCGGAGCAGAUUGUGGGGCUUGGAGAUAACACCUUCCAAGAACAAACAGAAGAUGAAACUGGCGUGGAUAUUCACCAGGAACCAGUUCAUCCUACUAGUAAUGUUGUCGCUCAAGAACCCCCAGAGCAGAACAGACAACAAACUUACAUCUUUG